UCUUACUUCAGCCUACUAUCAAAAUGGGAA
Molecule: non-coding RNA, 30 nt
Filed under: Mus musculus (house mouse)
Lineage: Eukaryota; Metazoa; Chordata; Mammalia; Rodentia; Muridae
Source: RNAcentral